GACGAACGCUGGCGGCGUGCCUAAUACAUGCAAGUCGAACGAGAGCGACCGGUGCUUGCACUGGUCAAUCUAGUGGCGAACGGGUGAGUAACACGUGGGUAACCUGCCCAUCAGAGGGGGAUAACAUCCGGAAACGGAUGCUAAAACCGCAUAGGUCUUCGAGCCGCAUGGCUUGAAGAGGAAAAGAGGCGCAAGCUUCUGCUGAUGGAUGGACCCGCGGUGCAUUAGCUAGUUGGUGAGGUAACGGCUCACCAAGGCCGUGAUGCAUAGCCGACCUGAGAGGGUGAUCGACCACAUUGGGACUGAGACACGGCCCAAACUCCUACGGGAGGCAGCAGUAGGGAAUCUUCCGCAAUGGACGCAAGUCUGACGGAGCAACGCCGCGUGAGUGAAGAAGGUUUUCGGAUCGUAAAACUCUGUUGUUAGAGAAGAACAAGUGCUAGAGUAACUGUUAGCGCCUUGACGGUAUCUAACCAGAAAGCCACGGCUAACUACGUG
This 498-nucleotide ribosomal RNA is filed under the name uncultured bacterium. RNAcentral's name for it is "partial 16S ribosomal RNA". It matches the Rfam family "Bacterial small subunit ribosomal RNA", at positions 28 to 507 of the family's 1533-position model. The record is from RNAcentral.